UACGUAGGGUCCGAGCGUUGUCCGGAAUUACUGGGCGUAAAGAGCUCGUAGGUGGUUUGUCGCGUUGUUCGUGAAAACUCACAGCUUAACUGUGGGCGUGCGGGCGAUACGGGCAGACUUGAGUACUGCAGGGGAGACUGGAAGUUCCUGGUGUAGCGGUGAAAUGCGCAGAUAUCAGGAGGAACACCGGUGGCGAAGGCGGGUCUCUGGGCCGAUGACUGACGCUGAGGAGCGAAAGUGUGGGGAGCGAACAGG
This 255-nucleotide ribosomal RNA is filed under the name uncultured bacterium. Its description in RNAcentral is "partial 16S ribosomal RNA". It matches the Rfam family "Bacterial small subunit ribosomal RNA", at positions 524 to 776 of the family's 1533-position model. The record is from RNAcentral.